Molecule: long non-coding RNA, 208 nt
Filed under: Olea europaea (common olive)
Lineage: Eukaryota; Viridiplantae; Streptophyta; Magnoliopsida; Lamiales; Oleaceae
Description: long non-coding RNA (OEUR_LNC004889)
Source: RNAcentral
GCGCCCGUCACAUGUUCGAUGAAAGUCCUUCUUUAUAUAUUUUUUGGAUUCCUUUGUUUUCUUUGGUUUCUUUUCCUUUCGUUUUUUCUUCCUUGUUUACUUGUAGUCCUGUGCCGUGUUGGGUCCUUGUUUACACAUAUUUUUGACUCUCUCUCCGUUAUGGUUGGUUUGUUCUUGGGGUCGCUUACAUUUUUCGAUGCAUUUCUUU